Molecule: ribosomal RNA, 588 nt
Filed under: uncultured bacterium
Lineage: Bacteria
Also listed under: 1 other name
Description: bacterial SSU rRNA
Rfam family: Bacterial small subunit ribosomal RNA
Source: RNAcentral
CCUACGGGAGGCAGCAGUCGGGAAUCUUGCACAAUGGGCGAAAGCCUGAUGCAGCAACACCGUGUGAGCGAUGAAGGCCCUAGGGUCGUAAAGCUCUGUUGUUAGGGACGAAGGGCGAAGGGUUAAUAGCCCCUAGCCUGACGGUACCUUUCGAGGAAGCCCCGGCUAACUACGUGCCAGCAGCCGCGGUAAUACGUAGGGGGCGAGCGUUGUCCGGAAUUAUUGGGCGUAAAGAGCGUGUAGGCGGCUUGGUAAGUCUGCUGUGAAACCUUGGGGCUCAACCCCAAGCGUGCAGUGGAUACUGUCAAGCUAGAGGAUGGUAGAGGCCAGUGGAAUUCCCGGUGUAGCGGUGAAAUGCGCAGAUAUCGGGAGGAACACCAGUAGCGAAGGCGGCUGGCUGGGCCAUUCCUGACGCUGAGACGCGAAAGCUAGGGGAGCGAACAGGAUUAGAUACCCUGGUAGUCCUAGCCGUAAACGAUGAACACUAGGUGUGGGGGGAGUCGAAUCCCUCCGUGCCGAAGCCAACGCGUUAAGUGUUCCGCCUGGGGAGUACGGCCGCAAGGCUAAAACUCAAAUGAAUUGACGGGG